GCCUGGUUGGUUCAAUCAGUGGAGUGUGUGACUCUUGAUCAUGGGUUGUGGGUUCGAGUCCUACGUUUGGUG
RNAcentral lists this transfer RNA (72 nucleotides) under Canis lupus familiaris (dog). It matches the Rfam family "tRNA". From Rfam's summary of the family: Transfer RNA (tRNA) molecules are approximately 80 nucleotides in length. Their secondary structure includes four short double-helical elements and three loops (D, anti-codon, and T loops). Further hydrogen bonds mediate the characteristic L-shaped molecular structure. tRNAs have two regions of fundamental functional importance: the anti-codon, which is responsible for specific mRNA codon recognition, and the 3' end, to which the tRNAs corresponding amino acid is attached (by aminoacyl-tRNA synthetases). tRNAs cope with the degeneracy of the genetic code in two manners: having more than one tRNA (with a specific anti-codon) for a particular amino acid; and 'wobble' base-pairing, i.e. permitting non-standard base-pairing at the 3rd anti-codon position. RNAcentral also lists the same sequence under 1 other name. Lineage: Eukaryota; Metazoa; Chordata; Mammalia; Carnivora; Canidae. The record is from Rfam by way of RNAcentral.